GAGGUUAUAGCUCAGCGGUAGAGUGACUGCCUAGCGUGCACAAAGUCCUGGGUUCAAUCCCCAGGACCUCC
This 71-nucleotide transfer RNA is filed under the name Camelus bactrianus (Bactrian camel). It matches the Rfam family "tRNA". Rfam says of the family: Transfer RNA (tRNA) molecules are approximately 80 nucleotides in length. Their secondary structure includes four short double-helical elements and three loops (D, anti-codon, and T loops). RNAcentral also lists the same sequence under 1 other name. The record is from Rfam by way of RNAcentral. Lineage: Eukaryota; Metazoa; Chordata; Mammalia; Artiodactyla; Camelidae.